GCCGGCGUAGCUCAGUGGUAGAGCAACUGAUUCGUAAUCAGUAGGUCGAGAGUUCAACCCUCCCCGCCGGCUCCA
RNAcentral lists this transfer RNA (75 nucleotides) under Deltaproteobacteria bacterium RBG_16_54_11. Its description in RNAcentral is "tRNA-Thr". It matches the Rfam family "tRNA". From Rfam's summary of the family: Transfer RNA (tRNA) molecules are approximately 80 nucleotides in length. The record is from RNAcentral. Lineage: Bacteria; Deltaproteobacteria.